GACGAACGCUGGCGGCGCGCUUAACACAUGCAAGUCGAACGGAAAGGCCUGCUUUCCCUUGUGGAUUGCGGGUACUCGAGUGGCGAACGGGUGAGUAACACGUGAGUGAUCUGCCCCCAACUUGGGUAUAAGCCUGGGAAACUGGGUCUAAUUCCCGAUAGGACUGCAGGGUGGUGCCUGUGGUGGAAAACGAUUUUCUAGUGGUUGGGGAUGAGCUCGCGGCCUAUCAGCUUGUUGGUGGGGUAAUGGCCUACCAAGGCGGCGACGGGUAGCCGGCCUGAGAGGGUGGACGGCCACAUUGGGACUGAGAUACGGCCCAGACUCCUACGGGAGGCAGCAGUGGGGAAUAUUGCACAAUGGGCGGAAGCCUGAGGCAGCGACGCCGCGUGGGGGAUGACGGCCUUCGGGUGGUAAACUCCUUUCGACCGCGAGGAAGCCACCUGGUUGGAAGGGUGGUGACGGUAGUGGUAGAAGAAGCACCGGCUAACUACGUG
Molecule: ribosomal RNA, 494 nt
Filed under: uncultured bacterium
Lineage: Bacteria
Description: partial 16S ribosomal RNA
Rfam family: Bacterial small subunit ribosomal RNA
Source: RNAcentral